GGGCUUGUAGCUCAGUGGUAGUAGCGCUCGCUUUGCAUUGUUUGCAUUAAACUGCAUAAAUUGCCUGCGAGAGGUCAGGGGUUCAAUCCCCCUCGAGUCCA
Aspergillus hancockii is the source of this 101-nucleotide non-coding RNA. NCBI's taxonomy places the organism in Eukaryota, Fungi, Ascomycota, Eurotiomycetes, Eurotiales, Aspergillaceae. The record is from the annotation of a GenBank genome assembly.